GGGCGAGGCGUCAGCAGGCGUCCGCGGCCACAGUUGGUCCAGCGGCCGCGACGGACGGGCUGAGGAUCGGUCACUUGGGAACCUAAUGAUAAGACCUCCAUAGCAGGAGGGACAAUGACAACCGAGAAAAAGGCUCUUCCCGAGGGGGCUUCCCCAGCACAGGACAAGGCGGCCUCGACCGAGUCACCGAAGGACGAUGGCGGCGUCAAAUUACAGAAGGAACUGGGCUUGCUGGAAGGCGUGGCCAUGAUCGUGGGCAUCGUGAUCGGCUCGGGUAUCUUCGUGUCUCCAAAGGGCGUUAUCCUAUACGCCGGGAGUGUGGGCAUGUCCCUUGCAGUAUGGGCAGCGUGCGGCCUGGUGGCCAUGGUCGGGGCUCUCUGCUUCGCCGAGCUGGGCACGAUGAUCCCCGAGAGCGGCGGCAUGUACUGCUACCUGCACGAGGCCUUUGGCGCCCUGCCGGCCUUCCUCUACAUGUGGGUGACGACCGUGAUCAGGAACUCUGCAGGAGCGGCCAUCGUCGCCCUCACCUUCGCCAACUACCUCCUGCAGCCUCUGUUCCCCGACUGCGAGGCCGUGUCGGACGCCGCGACCAGACUCAUCGCUGCCGUUCCUUAUCUGUUUCCUCUCGUGGAUCAACUGCGUGAACGUGCGGUGGGUGGCCAAGGUGCAGAACGUGUUCAUGGUGACCAAGCUGCUGGCCCUCGUCAUGAUCAUCGUGGCCGGGGUCUAUCACCUGGCCUCCGGGCACGUGGGGAACUUCAGAGCGCCGCUGGAGGGAACCAAGUGGCAGGCGGCGGCCAUCGCCACGGCCUUCUACCAGAGUCUCUUCUCCUACGCUGGAUGGGAAAAUCUGUAUUAUGUGGUCGAAGAACUGAAAAAUCCAAAUAAGAACCUUCCGCUGGCCAUCAUCAUCUCGACGGGCCUGGUGACUGCCGUCUACACGCUGACCAACGUUGCGUACCUAGCUGUGCUGACGCCUUCCGAGAUGCUGGCCGCCGAUGCUGUCGCCAUGACUUUCGCGAGCCGCGCCCUGAGCA
This 1037-nucleotide unclassified non-coding RNA is filed under the name Penaeus monodon (black tiger shrimp). RNAcentral describes it as "large neutral amino acids transporter small subunit 1-like, transcript variant X2". Lineage: Eukaryota; Metazoa; Arthropoda; Malacostraca; Decapoda; Penaeidae. The record is from RNAcentral.